AGAGUUUGAUCCUGGCUCAGAACGAACGCUGGCGGCGUGGCUAAGACAUGCAAGUCGAACGGACUAUUCAAUUGAGUAAUCGAGCGAAUAGUUAGUGGCGUAAGGGUUAGUAAUGGAUAGGUAACGUACCCCGAGCUUCGGGAUAGCGCCGGUUGCUUCGGCAACCUACCGAAAGGGGCGGUAAUACCGAAUAACACCAUGAACCUUCUGGUUUAUGGUCAAAGAUUUAUCGGCACGGGAGCGGCCUAUCUCCUAUCAGCUUGUUGGUGAGGUAAUGGCUCACCAAGGCAUCGACGGGUAGCGGGACUGAGAGGUUGACCCGCAACAUCGGGACUGAGACACUGCCCGGACCUCCACGGAGGGCUGCAGUAACGAAUAUUGCGCAAUGGGCGAAAGCCUGACGCAGCGACGCCGCGUGUAGGAGGAAGUCUUUCGGGAUGUAAACUACUGUCAGGGGUAAGAAAGUGCGCUUCGGCGUAUUGAUCUAACCCAGAGGAAGUCACGGCUAACUUCGUGCCAGCAGCCGCGGUAAGACGAAGGUGGCGAGCGUUGUUCGGUGUUACUGGGCUUAAAGCGUAUGUAGGCGGAAAGGUAAGCGUCUUGUGAAAUCCCUCGGCUUAACCGAGGAAUUGCUUGGCGAACUGUCUUUCUUGAGGCAAGUAGGGGUGCAUGGAACUCUUGGUGGAGCGGUGGAAUGCGUAGAUAUCAAGAGGAACGCCGGAGGUGAAAACGGUGCACUGGGCUUGUCCUGACGCUGAGAUACGAAAGCGUGGGGAGCGAACGGGAUUAGAUACCCCGGUAGUCCACGCUGUAAACGAUGUCUACUAGGUUGCGGUGGUUCUGACACUGUCGCGACCGAAGCAAAAGUGUUAAGUAGACCGCCUGGGGAGUACGGUCGCAAGGCUAAAACUCAAAGGAAUUGACGGGGGCUCACACAAGCGGUGGAGCAUGUGGACUAAUUCGAAGCAACGCGUAGAACCUUACCUGGGUUUGACAUGCUUGGAUGCCAAUCUGGAAACAGAGGAAGCUGCCUUCGGGUGAAACUUGCACAGGUGCUGCAUGGCUGUCGUCAGCUCGUGUCGUGAGAUGUCGGGUUAAGUCCUUUAACGAGCGAAACCCUUGCCGUUAGUUGCCAGCGAGUAAUGUCGGGGACUCUAACGGGACUGCCGGUGUAAAACCGGAGGAAGGUGGGGACGACGUCAAGUCAUCAUGGCCUUUAUGCCCAGGGCUUCACACGUGCUACAAUGGCGGCAACAAAGCGACGCAAGACCGCGAGGUGGAGCAAAUCGCAAAAAUGUCGCCCCAGUUCGGAUUGUAGGCUGGCAACUCGCCUGCAUGAAGUUGGAAUCGCUAGUAAUCGCGUAUCAGCUACGACGCGGUGAAUGUGUUCCUGAGCCUUGUACGCACCGCCCGUCAAGUGAUGGGAGUUGGGAGUACCCGAAGUCGGAUUGCUAACCCCUCGGGGAAGCGUCUGCCGACGGUAAGCCCGAUGACUGGCACUAAGUCGUAACAAGGUA
RNAcentral lists this ribosomal RNA (1517 nucleotides) under metagenome. RNAcentral's name for it is "bacterial SSU rRNA". It matches the Rfam family "Bacterial small subunit ribosomal RNA". The record is from RNAcentral.